This 372-nucleotide ribosomal RNA is filed under the name uncultured organism. RNAcentral describes it as "bacterial SSU rRNA". It matches the Rfam family "Bacterial small subunit ribosomal RNA", at positions 526 to 896 of the family's 1533-position model. The record is from RNAcentral.
CGAGUGCCUCAAGCGUUAUCCGGAAUCAUUGGGCGUAAAGGGUGCGUAGGCGGUCCUGUUGGUCUCGCGUUAAAUUCUUCGGCUCAACCGGGGGCAUGCGCGGGAAACGGCAGGACUAGAAGGUGCGAGGGGUCUCUGGAACUCAUGGUGUAGCGGUGAAAUGCGUUGAUAUCAUGGGGAACACCGAAAGCGAAGGCAGGAGACUGGAGCAUUCUUGACGCUGAAGCACGAAAGCGUGGGUCGCGAAUGGGAUUAGAUACCCCAGUAGUCCACGCCCUAAACGAUGAUCUCUUGAUUUGGGGAGUAUCGACCCUCCCCGAGUCGAAGCUAACGCGAUAAGAGAUCCGCCUGGGUAGUACGACCGCAAGGUUA